GAAAAUAACUAUGAUUCCCUUAGUAACGGCGAGUGAACAGGGAAAAGCCCAAAUUUGUAAUCUGGCACUUUUUACAAGUGUCCGAGUUGUAAUUUGUAGAACUGUUAUCCGCGCUGGACCAUGUACAAGUCUGUUGAAAAGCAGCAUCAUUGAAGGUGAAAAUCCUGUAGAUGAUAUGGACUACCAGUGCAUUUGUGAUACGGUUUCUAAGAGUCGAGUUGUUUGGGAAUGCAGCUCAAAGUGGGUGGUAAAUUCCAUCUAAGGCUAAAUAUAAGUGAGAGACCGAUAGCAAACAAGUACCGUGAGGGAAAGAUGAAAAGAACUUUGAAAAUAGAGUUAACAGUACGUGAAAUUGCUGAAAGGGAAACGUUUGAAGUUAGUUUUGUAUUCGUUGGAUCAGCUUCGCAAGGAGUGUAUUCUGAUGAUAAGCAAGUCAACAUCAAUCUAUGAGUGUCGGAGAAGGGUUUUGAGAAUGUAGCAAUUUUUAUUAAUUGUGUUAUAGCUUGAGACUUGGAUACGUGCUUUGGAUUGAGGAACGCGUAGUAAGCUUUGAGCGGAUUCGAAAGGAUCUCCUUACUAUGGAUGUUGGUGAAAUAACUUUAAGCGACC
Molecule: ribosomal RNA, 609 nt
Filed under: Melampsora laricis-populina
Lineage: Eukaryota; Fungi; Basidiomycota; Pucciniomycetes; Pucciniales; Melampsoraceae
Description: eukaryotic LSU rRNA
Rfam family: Eukaryotic large subunit ribosomal RNA
Source: RNAcentral